GACGAACGCUGGCGGCGCGCUUAACACAUGCAAGUCGAACGUGAAGCCCGGGCUUGCCCGGGUGGAAAGUGGCGAACGGGUGCGUAACACGUGAGCAACCUGCCCCGAAGACCGGGAUAACACCGGGAAACCGGUGCUAAUACCGGAUGCCCUCAUCAUGUCGCAUGGCGAGAUGAGGAAAUGGAUUCCGCUUCGGGAUGGGCUCGCGGCCUAUCAGCUUGUUGGUGAGGUAACGGCUCACCAAGGCAACGACGGGUAGCUGGUCUGAGAGGAUGUCCAGCCACACUGGGACUGAGACACGGCCCAGACUCCUACGGGAGGCAGCAGUGGGGAAUCUUGCACAAUGGGCGAAAGCCUGAUGCAGCGACGCCGCGUGCGGGAUGACGGCCUUCGGGUUGUAAACCGCUUUCAGCAGGGACGAUAGUGACGGUACCUGCAGAAGAAGCCCCGGCCAACUACGUGCCAGCCGCCGCCGUAACAC
RNAcentral lists this ribosomal RNA (481 nucleotides) under uncultured bacterium. RNAcentral's name for it is "bacterial SSU rRNA". It matches the Rfam family "Bacterial small subunit ribosomal RNA", at positions 28 to 526 of the family's 1533-position model. The record is from RNAcentral.